CCGUACUGGCGGCAUAGGGAAGUUCCCAGGCUAGAGGUGGAAGCAGAGCUCUAGCUUCUGGCCUACACCACAGCCACAGCAAUGUGGGAUCUGAGCUGCAUGUGCGACUUACACCGUAGUUCACAGCAAUGCUGGAUCCUUAACCUACGAAGUGAGGCCAGGGAUUGAACAUGUGUCUCAUGGAUACUAGUCAGAUUCGUUUCCACUGAGCCACGAUGGGAAUUUCCCUAGAACUAUCUUGAUUCAGUAUUAUCUAUGCAACUCAAUAGUUUUCAGAAAGCCAAUAUAGCUAAGAUGUUCCCCCGUAAGAAUCUAACAUGAUGGUACAGGGUGGAGAAUAAGGCUUUGAGCCAGACUGAUGCCAGGUGAGUGGAAGAGCCUUAGAAAGAAUUAAUCAGAUUUAUAUGCUGUUUCCUUUAAGUCCCAAUAUGCAUACGAGCUUCAAAGUACAAAUGAAAAUCAUAUAAAAGCUCAGUGCUUCUUUGGCUCCCAGUAUUCCAACUAUUUGCAUUCUUUCAAAACAGACACCAUGGAAAAUUCAAAGCUUUUUUCAACAGCUGCUAAAUCACUUUGGAUUUUUCUUUUCAAAUUGCUAUCCUAUCAUAGUCAAUUUAGGUCCCUCCUUUUCCUCCCUGUCUUUUCAUUUUUCCUCUCCCAAACACAAGAGUUCUUCAUAGCCUAUCCGUGACUUGGACCAGAAAUGGAUUAUUUGAAACAGUCAUUUAUCUGUUCAUCACCUAAGGCUCUGAAUACCUUUAUGCUAUUUCAAAAGCAAAUUCUUUGUUUCCAUCUCUCACCCAUACUUAAAAAAUGAUGACCUGCCACCACUGAAGAUUCAUUUCUUUUAGGGCUGUACCCACAGCAUAUGGAGGUUCCCAGACCAGGGGUCUAAUCAGAGUUACAGCUGCUGGGCUACACCACAGCCACAGCAAUGCAGGAUCUGAGCCAUGUCUGUGAACUACACCACAGCUCACAGCAACACCAGAUCCUUAACCCAUUGAGUGAGGCCAGGGAUUGAACCCUCAACCUCGUGGCUCCUAGUCGGAUUCGUUUCCACUGCGCCACGACAGGAACUCCUGAGAUACAUUUUAAAUGUGCUGUUAAGUUUUAAAGGCAUUUCAAAGGGAGAGGUCCAAAGAUAUUUUAAGUAAUAUCAGCAGAGCUGAAAUAAGUGAGUAAUUUCAGAUACCACAUAUUCUUAAGGGAGAAAAUUAAUUUGGGUACUUAAUCUUAGCAUUGGUUAAAAGAUGAGUCAGAUUAAAUUAUAGCUUGAUAUAUGCACACACACACUGUGUAUACACAAUCUUGAAAUCUCUUGUGUAUUUUUAAAAGGAAAGUGAAAAUUGAAAGACAGUAGCAAAAGUAAAAUCAGCAUGGAAAAUACCAUGGGAGGAAACACCUGCUGGGAAAACAUAUAUGUAGAAAAGAUCUUACAGGCUUCCUUCUUAAUUUUACCCAGUAAAGCAGUAAUAUUUAGGAAUAAAAAUGUUGUGGAAAACUAACAACAUUUCAAUAUUUUAACACAUUUAAAGGCUCUGGCUCCAUAGUCAAGAUUGUUAACUUUAUUUAUUUAUUUAUUUAUUUGUCUUUUUGCCUUUUCUAGGGCUGCUCCCGCGGCAUAUGGAGGUUCCCAGGCUAGGGGUCCAAUCAGAGCUGAAGCCGCCACUCUACGCCACAGCCACAGCAACACCAGAUUCCAGCUGCGUCUGUGACCUACACUACAGCUCACGGCAACACCGGAUCCUUAACCCACUGAGCAAGGCCAGGGAUUGAAUCCGCAACCUCAUGGUUCCUAGUUGGAUUUAUUAACCACUGAGCCACGACGGGAACUCCAGUCUUAACUUCAUAAACCUUAAAUUUUAUGCCUUACUGAUAUACUUUAAAGACUGCAUUUACACUUUAUCUAGGUGUUUCAUUUUGUUACACACUACUUAAUAUCUGGUAAUCAUAAAUGAGCAACCUUUUACUUCUGAAGCACACACACAGGAUAUCUUUAAUAAUUCAAAGAGCUUUCUAUAAUGACAAAGUCAUAUUGAUGAAUGCAAUAGGAAAAUUCUAAUACUAUUCAACAUAACUUAAAUAAUUCACAGUAGAAACCAGGCAUAAUAGAGCAAGAAAAAUAAAUUCUAAGUGCUCAAAAUAUUUUGUUCUUUCUUACACCAAUGCAUAGUUCUUAAAUCAUAGUGACAGUUUUCCUCUCUUUUGUUGGAAUACAUGACAGCUCUUCAUAUUCUGGAGCAGGUGCAAACGAUAAACGCUUUCCUAUUAAAGUCAAGAAUGUCAGCAUUCUGUGUGCAGUGAUGGGCAGACCUCCAUCAUUUUUGCAUAAGACAUCUCCUGGGAGAGCUAUCACCAGACCAUUACUACACUAUCAACUUACUCUCAUCUCAAAUUAUUAUUCUUCAAAGACAGCCAGCUGAGUUGCACUUUACUUUUUUAGAUUCCCUGAUAGGUGAUGAAAGGAAAAUGUCAAACAGAGAACAGAUAACAAGGUUAUUCAUAAUUUCACUAACACCAAAUAAUUCCAAAAUCAAUCUUUUAAACAUAGUAUUUUGCAUUUUGGAAAUAUGAUACAUCGCUAAUUAUUCAAUCUGACUAUAUAAAAUAAGUAAAUGAGGAAAAAAACAUUUAAAAAACAGCUAGUGAAUGAUUUUUGUAAAUACAGAAUUAUGGUGAAUUCUAAAAUGAAUUAACAAGUAAUGAAGAAAUUAAUUGAAAAACUACAUUAAGAAUAAAAUUAAUAUGGUUUAAUAUUUUAUUUCCUUUGGUGUUUAUUUAUAGAAUCCUUCUUUCAGAUGAUUGUAAAUCAAGAGCCAUACUCAGGUUAUAUAGUUAAAAGAUCUUUUUUUCACAAUUUAGAGGAGGUGACAUGAUGUUUAAAGAUAACAUGGUCUAUAGAGAAUUGUUUUGAACUAAGAAGAUAAAUUGGAAUUUUUUUUUUUUUGUCUUUUGAGGGCUGCACCCGCAGCAUACGGAGGUUCCCAGGCUAGGGGUCUAAUCAGAGCUACAGCUGCCAGGCUACUCCAGAGACACAGCAACACCAGAUCCGAGCAGCAUCUGCAACCUAUACCACAGCUCACAGCAACACUGGAUAUUUAACCCACUGAGCAAGGCCAGGGAUCGAACCCGCAACCUCAUGGUUCCUAGUUGGAUUCAUUUCUGCCUGUGCCAAGACUCCAAAUUGAAAUUUAUUUUGAUGAAAGAAGGAAAAAAAAAAAGAACUUCCCCAAAACAUUAAGUAAUGAAAUUUUCAAAAAUUUGUGGGAAUGGUCACAUGUAUUAAUGCAAAAUAAAUAUAUAUUUUAACAUUCUGAAGGUUAGCAUGCUUUUGAGAUAUGAAUAAAUUUUUUAACAUUUAUAUUUAUCAAAUUAAAAAGAUACAUUUAAACCUGGCAACAGAAAUCUUACAAAUAGUCAAUAUACAUUAUACACAUAUAUAUUAUGUGAUAUGUAUAAAUAUAUAUAUAUAUUUCUAUGACAAUGGAGUAUUAUUCAAUCAUGAGAAAGAAGGAAAUCCUAUCCUUUGUGGCAACAUGAAUGAACAUGAAAGAUAUUAUUCUACAUAAAAUAAGCCAGCCAAAGACAAAUAUUGUAUUAUAAUAUCUCAUUUAUAUGUGGACUCUUAAAAAAAAAGGAAGAAGAAGAAGUCAAACUCAAAAAUGAGAGUUGAAUGGUAGUUCCCAGGGUCUGGGAGUUGAGGAAACGGGGAGAUGUUGGUCAAAGGAGAUAACACUUCGAUUAUAAAAUGAAUAAAUUCUGGGGAUAUAGUGGAAAGCAUGGUGAUUGUAUUUAAUAAUAGUGUAUUUUACACUUCAAAUUUACUAACAGAGUAGUCAUACACACACAUACACAAACUAUGUGAGGUGACGGACAUAUUAAUUAACCUGAGUAUCAUAAUCACUUCACAAUAUAUAUGCUUAUCAAUCAUAGUGCUCUAGUUGUUAAUAUAUGUAAUUUUGUCAAUUACCCCUCAGUAAAGCUGAGGGGGUGGGGAAUAAAACAAGGAAAAACUCCAGGAAACAAGCUAAAGCGGAAAGAGAGAGACAGACCAGAGCAAGCCUAGGCUUAUUAUUUCAUGGGGAAAAAGACAGGAAGUUCUUGGAUUUUGGUAGAACGAAAGAGAUGACUUAUUUCUGCAUUGCUGUUUCAGUUCCCUAACCAAAGUUAAAUUUUCUGCCUAGCAGGGAAAUCAAACCUUAAUUCAGUGUAAUAUCUCUCUUGCUGGAGUUACAGCCACCUCAACUUACACAAAUUUGGUUUUUCCUAGUUCAAGUUAUUCCAGCCUUGAUAGCUCUGGGGAUCACUUUUAAAUAUGUGCAGAAUCAAGUUUUAUUCACCCCAUUAUUCACAGUUUUUAGUAACACAUCCCCUACUCCCAGUUUAACUGAAGCCGUAUAAAUUUUAUAUCAAAGUACUACAAGUAGCAACAAUAUUAAAUAUAAGUUUAUGCCUUCUUUUCCAAAUUUUGCCUAACAGGUAGAGGUUUAAAAAAAAGUUGGUGAAACACACUUAUUAAAGUAUGUAUCACAACAUUACUGAAUUUUAAUGAAGAAACUAUUUGGUAUUGAAAAAAGUCUGGCAUUAUUUUGUUCUAUUAAAAAAUCCUCUAGUAUUUUUCUUAAAUUGUUAAGUCAUUACCUCUUUUAUUUGAAAAUAUCUAUAGCAUUAAAAAUAUAUUAUUGUGACAUAUAUAUUAAUCAAUACAAUUUCAUCAACACAGAUGUUAGUACCUAAAAUUGACUAUUGUAGGGAAGAUUUUGAGUAGAAGAGCAUUUUUGUAAUAAUAAAUGUAAUGAUUAGAAUUAAAGUAUUCAUUGUCUGGUAAUACUAAUGUAAUAAAUACAUUCUAAUAAAUGUAUUUAUUAGAAUUAAAAUAUUUAUUUAUUAUCUGGUAAUACUCAUGAGAAAAUAGCAAUGUUAGACACAAUCAUAGAACGUAGCCUCUAAUCUUUAGGCCAUAUAUAAAUUUAUAUGUCAGGUGUUUUCAUAUUCUAUAUUUAUACCAUUUUAUGUUCAAAGGGAAGAAUAUUAAGAUUGUAAAACUAGCUAGGAAGAAGAUUAUUCAAAAGUUUUAAAAAAUCUUUUAAACUAACCAUAAAAUCUUGUUUCAAGAGCUUUUUCAACCCUUAUAAUCGCAACUUACUGCACAAGUCAUAAUUUGAAUGUAAUGAAAUACUCUACAAAAAUGUUCAACAGAAUUUAAAAUUUAACUUAAGGGAAUUUGGAAGUUCAGUCAUUCUCAAAUAGGCUGUAAGGAUGAUUAAAAUCCUGAAGGAAGCCUGAAAGAAAAAGGACAUGGUCAUUAUUGGAAAUUUAAUACAACGUUAACUCUCAGGUUUCACGUUUAGACUAGAAAGCUUAAGUUCAAGGCCCUUAUACCAAUCUUUAUAGAAAUGUAAUGUUCUCCAACUCAUGGUCCUUCCCUUGAAAAGCUGUACGUGGGUAAUAGUGAUUAUCAACUCAAAUUAGUCACACACACCGGGGUGAAUUGGAAAUGAAAAGCUUCUUCAAUUACCCAAACUAACAUAAACGAUUUAUUUCCUUCUGCUGACACGAAAGGAAAGGAGCUGAAUGUUCAUGAAGGACAGCAUUUAUCCACCCUGCACUGAGGUCAGAGAGCUCUCUCAGCACAAAUAUUCCCAGAAAAGGUUCAGCUUGGCAGAAAAUAAACCAUCUAUUCCAAAAGGUCACCACGUCAGCCCAACUUUUCAUCUGCUGUGAGAAAAAUCCUGUCGAAGUCCAUUACUGUAAGGCAGCAGCUGUUCUGUAGAAGGACAGCCUCCAAAAGACAACAGUUUCUCAUAAGCCCCAGUGCAAUUCCUCCUCUUCACUGACUAUUUCUGGUCUCUUCUGACACACACCAUUCUUCCUCACCACUAAGGCUUUGCUCAUUCACCUCAAAUACCUCCCAAAUAUUCCUCUACAUUUUACAUAAUUUUACAUAGUCUUUUCUUUCUUUCUUUCUUUUUUUUUUUUUUUGUCUUUUUGUCUUUGUUGUUGUUGUUGUUGCUAUUUCUUGGGCCGCUCCUGCGGCAUAUGGAGGUUCCCAGGCUAGGGGUUGAAUUGGAGCUGUAGCCACCGGCCUACGCCAGAGCCACAGCAACGCGGGAU
Molecule: long non-coding RNA, 6111 nt
Filed under: Sus scrofa (pig)
Lineage: Eukaryota; Metazoa; Chordata; Mammalia; Artiodactyla; Suidae
Description: lncRNA (ENSSSCG00065002344.1)
Source: RNAcentral